Drosophila melanogaster (fruit fly) is the source of this 70-nucleotide small nucleolar RNA. NCBI's taxonomy places the organism in Eukaryota, Metazoa, Arthropoda, Insecta, Diptera, Drosophilidae. The record is from Ensembl.
AGGCCAUUUGAUGAGAUUCGAUCAAUCGUCACAUACAGCCAAAAGCGAUCGCUCGCCUUGAACGACUAUA